This 491-nucleotide ribosomal RNA is filed under the name uncultured bacterium. Its description in RNAcentral is "partial 16S ribosomal RNA". It matches the Rfam family "Bacterial small subunit ribosomal RNA", at positions 29 to 506 of the family's 1533-position model. The record is from RNAcentral.
AGUGAACGCUGGCGGUAGGCCUAACACAUGCAAGUCGAACGGCAGCACAGUAAGAGCUUGCUCUUACGGGUGGCGAGUGGCGGACGGGUGAGGAAUACAUCGGAAUCUACUUUUUCGUGGGGGAUAACGUAAGGAAACUUACGCUAAUACCGCAUACGACCUACGGGUGAAAGCAGGGGAUCUUCGGACCUUGCGCGAUUGAAUGAGCCGAUGUCGGAUUAGCUAGUUGGCGGGGUAAAGGCCCACCAAGGCGACGAUCCGUAGCUGGUCUGAGAGGAUGAUCAGCCACACUGGAAUUGAGACACGGUCCAGACUCCUACGGGAGGCAGCAGUGGGGAAUAUUGGACAAUGGGCGCAAGCCUGAUCCAGCCAUACCGCGUGGGUGAAGAAGGCCUGCGGGUUGUAAAGCCCUUUUGUUGGGAAAGAAAAGCAGCAGGUUAACACCCCGCUGUUCUGACGGUACCCAAAGAAUAAGCACCGGCUAACUUCGU